UGCUAAAAAGCUAGCCCCUCCCCCAAAAACAACAAACCACUAUCAAUACCCCCAAAUACACCACCAGACUUAAUAAACCAAACCAUUUUCCCCUCCCAGUAUAGGUGAUAGAAAAG
RNAcentral lists this ribosomal RNA (116 nucleotides) under Branchiostegus japonicus (red tilefish). Its description in RNAcentral is "partial 16S ribosomal RNA". Lineage: Eukaryota; Metazoa; Chordata; Actinopteri; Malacanthidae. The record is from RNAcentral.